Molecule: ribosomal RNA, 658 nt
Filed under: Ilisha elongata (elongate ilisha)
Lineage: Eukaryota; Metazoa; Chordata; Actinopteri; Clupeiformes; Pristigasteridae
Description: partial 12S ribosomal RNA
Rfam family: Bacterial small subunit ribosomal RNA
Source: RNAcentral
ACGAGAGGCCCCAGUUGAUACAUUCGGCGUAAAGAGUGGUUAUGGGGACAUAACACUAAAGCCAAAGACCCCUCAAGCAGUCAUACGCACUCAGGAGUUCGAAGCACCAGCACGAAAGUCGCUUUACUUUACUCACCAGAACCCACGACAGCCGGGAGACAAACUGGGAUUAGAUACCCCACUAUGCCCCGCCGUAAACUUUGAUGCAUAAAUACAACAAACAUCCGCCAGGGGACUACGAGCGUCAGCUUAAAACCCAAAGGACUUGGCGGUGCUUCAAACCCCCCUAGAGGAGCCUGUUCUAGAACCGAUAAUCCCCGUUCAACCUCACCAUUUCUAGCUUUUCCCGCCUAUAUACCGCCGUCGCCAGCUUACCCUGUGAAGGUAUUACAGUAAGCAAAACAAGCACACCCUAAAACGUCAGGUCGAGGUGUAGCGCACGAAAUGGAAAGAAAUGGGCUACAUUAUCUGAAACAGAUUACCAACAAACGGUCUCCUGAAAUAAAGACCCGAAGGUGGAUUUAGCAGUAAAGAGAGAAUAGAGCGCCCUCUUGAAGCCGGCCCUGAAGCGCGCACACACCGCCCGUCACUCUCCCCGACAAUCAACCUUAACCCAAGUACUUCAACAAAACAAUAACAGCAAGGGGAGGCAAGUCGU